ACGGGAGGCAGCAGUAGGGAAUCUUCGGCAAUGGACGAAAGUCUGACCGAGCAACGCCGCGUGAGUGAAGAAGGUUUUCGGAUCGUAAAACUCUGUUGUUAGAGAAGAACAAGGAUGAGAGUAACUGUUCAUCCCUUGACGGUAUCUAACCAGAAAGCCACGGCUAACUACGUGCCAGCAGCCGCGGUAAUACGUAGGUGGCAAGCGUUGUCCGGAUUUAUUGGGCGUAAAGCGAGCGCAGGCGGUUUCUUAAGUCUGAUGUGAAAGCCCCCGGCUCAACCGGGGAGGGUCAUUGGAAACUGGGAGACUUGAGUGCAGAAGAGGAGAGUGGAAUUCCAUGUGUAGCGGUGAAAUGCGUAGAUAUAUGGAGGAACACCAGUGGCGAAGGCGGCUCUCUGGUCUGUAACUGACGCUGAGGCUCGAAAGCGUGGGGAGCAAACAGGAUUAGAUACCCUGGUAGUCCA
Molecule: ribosomal RNA, 464 nt
Filed under: uncultured bacterium
Lineage: Bacteria
Description: bacterial SSU rRNA
Rfam family: Bacterial small subunit ribosomal RNA
Source: RNAcentral